CCUACGGGAGGCAGCAGUGGGGAAUCUUGCACAAUGGGCGAAAGCCUGAUGCAGCCAUGCCGCGUGAAUGAUGAAGGCCUUAGGGUUGUAAAAUUCUUUCGUCAGGGAUGAUAAUGACCGUACCUGAAGAAGAAGCCCCGGCUAACUUCGUGCCAGCAGCCGCGGUAAU
Molecule: ribosomal RNA, 169 nt
Filed under: uncultured bacterium
Lineage: Bacteria
Description: partial 16S ribosomal RNA
Rfam family: Bacterial small subunit ribosomal RNA
Source: RNAcentral